AUUUCAGUACGCAAUGUAUUCUACCCUCAAAAGCAAUAUGAUUUCAGUGAGGGGGACAUGCUCUCUAUCAGGAGGUGGUGGUUGGACAGCUGUUGGAGACCUUUAUACUUGAAAGCCCUGCAGAACUAGCUGGCUCCUUCUCACCCUCUCCAUCUCCCCAUCUCAGUCACACCUUCCAAUCACUAAGCAGUGAAAGCCCUGCAGGACUAGCUGGCACACCAAGCUCACCCUCUCCAUCUCCCCAUCUCAGCCACACGCUCCAAUCUGGCACAACAGAGGACAGGCCAUUCUUACCACCCGAAGUCCUUCAGCAAAUUGUACAAGAGACGCUGAGACUGGACAUGGCGAUGCUUGGCGUGUUCAACAGGGUUUCAAACACAUUCCGAGAACUAUUCAAGCCUCUCCAUCCUUCCAUAUAUAUAAAUGACAGUUUGGCAGGGGACAUUAAGCUUAAUAAAGACAAUCUCAUAUACAUAACGGUUAGAAAGAUUUACAACAAUGCAGGCUGUGGCAGUGGCCUUGCGCUACGCCUCAAAGGCUUCUCAAAAAAGAAGAAUUGGCCAAGCGCACCCCUGGUACUGAGGAACGUUGCAUAUGGCAGGUUUGUCAUCAAAGAUGUCUGCCUAGCAUAAUGUUCUUUUAUUACUCCUUUUUUGUUUUAUUUGGGACGUCUUUUUUUGCAAUCCCUUCCAUUUGUAAAUGUACAUACUACUGUAGUAAAUGUAUCUGCCCAGAAAUGCUGGUAUUUUAUUACUCCUUUCUUUUUUGUUUUUGUGACAAAUGCUAUACGAUGUAUAACAUACAUUUGUGCCUACGAUGUAUGUUGUAAGGUUAAUUGUUACAG
Long non-coding RNA from Gadus macrocephalus (Pacific cod), 844 nucleotides. RefSeq lists it as uncharacterized. The transcript is spliced from 4 exons. NCBI's taxonomy places the organism in Eukaryota, Metazoa, Chordata, Actinopteri, Gadiformes, Gadidae. The record is from RefSeq and is a predicted model, not a curated record.